GGUAUCCCCGCCCCCAUAGGUGGCCCCGCCCUCAUAGGAGCCCCGCCCCCCUAGGAGCCCCGCCCCCAUAGGUAGCCCUGCUGUGCCCAGAGACACUUCACAAAAGUUGAAACCGCAGCCGCGUGCGAGGCGGUGUGUGGAUUCAAGGUCCUAAGGUGGUUGGCCUCGAGGACAGGCGUGCUGCGUGCCUCUCUGGGUGGCCCUAAUGGCGGGGCUUCAGCCUCAGCCUCUGCUCCUGUGCUCCCCGCACACGCGGUCCCGGGCCACGGGAUGCCGCAGGCUUGCGGGGCAGGGACUGCGACUCUGCGUCUAGAACGGUCCCGGCACCAAGCAGGUGACUGGGCGGUGUCCGUGGAAUAUUCCAACAGCUGGGAGUAGGCAUGGAAGCGUUUUGGAAGGACAACACGGAACAAUGCCCGUCCUGGAAUGUUACGUGGACUCUGAGCCUCAGUUUCCUCCCCUGUGAAAUGGGAUGAUCACAGUGUCGCCCCGCGGGGGUGUUGGGGGAGGGGUGAAGGAGAGGAGGCCGGAAGAGAGUAAGUGCGUGCCCGAUAAAUCACAGCUGUUGGGAUCAUUGAUGUGGGAAGGAGACGGGUAGGCAGUACACCAUGCUGUUGAGCGGUUCACUGCCCAGCGGGCGUUAAGUUUCAUUUGCUUCUUUCGACCUCUGUCUUCCUCGUGUUUCUCAACAAACAGAAUAAAACCAUGAGUGCCAGGGGAUUGGGGGUCCCCAACCUCCCUGGCUGGUGAGUAAACCGUCGUCCUAGACUUCCUGCUGUGCUCACGGGAAGGCUGUGAGCCCGUGGUCUUCACCUGGGGGUGACACUGCCCUCCAGGAGACAUUGCCACGUCUGCGAAUAUUUUUGGUUGUACCCCUGGCAUCCAGUAGGUGGUCGGGGUGGCUGCUAACCACCCUGCAGUGCACAGGGCAGCCUCCCCCUCCCCCCCCCCCAUUGGGGGGGGAAGUGUCUGGUCCAAGAGGUCAAGGGUGCCGAGGUGAAGAAGCCCUGCUAUCCUCACUCGGCAGUGAGAGACCCACAGAGCUCCCCUUCCCAGAGGUUCUCAGGGACCCAGAUGGGUUUCUGCGUGCCGGGGGAGGCUGGUGGCCGGAAGGCUGUAGCCAUAGCUGCCGGGGGGAGGCUGGAGAGCCGCAUGCCCAUGCCCGAGGUGGGCAAAACGAGAAUGCCCUCUCUGGGCCUCAUGACAGACCAGAGCGCCAAAGUGGCACUGACACAGUCCCCUUUCCGAGGCACACGAACCCUGCCAGGGGAGUCAUGGGCACAGGGAACCACACUCCCCUCCAGUCUCAGCGUUGGUUCCAAGCUGCUCCCCACUCCCUUGGGUUCAUUCUUUCCAGAGACCCUGCUGUCCAGGCUCUGGGCCCCCAGGAGGGACAGGCUUCAAGCGAUUUCCUACAGAGUUUCAGCGGUGCCUCAGCAAAUCACCAGGUGCAAAUGAACACGCAGGACAAUAUUCUCCCUCUUCCUGCCUUCUGGCCCCCAUGAGCCUUCUUGCUCUUUCUUCUUCACAUGCUCCUGCCUCAGGCCCUUUGCACUUGCUGUUUCCUGUAUCUGAUGUUGUCUUCCCAGAUGUCUGCCCGGCUGGCCUUGUCUCACCCUUUUGGCCUCAGCUUGCUGUCCCCUCUUCUGAGAGGUCUUCUCUGCAGCCCAGACCUUGGGUCUCCUUUCCCACACCCCCUUUUCCGGUCCAGCACUGAUAACCAUCUGGAGCGAGGUGGAGAUAAUGAAUUUUGUUGUGCAAGGGCGGGGCCCCUGUUCCUCAUGUUCCCUCUCCCCUCGUCACUGUGCCUGGCGCACAGUAGAGGUUCAGGGAGCAUUUACUGAAUGAACUAACGAGCAAGGGAGGCUGUGCACGGGUGUGGGAGGGAGGCAGAGCAGUGACGGAAUUAACAAAAGCCGUCAGCACCGGGUGGGCGGAGACCAAGGGAACCUUAGGUGUAAGGCUUGGAGUCCGGCAGACCUGGUUCGAAUCCCGGCUCCCCUGCUUACCAGUUGCAGGAUGGUGGACACUCCGCUAACCUCCGGGAGCCUCAGCUUCCACACCUGCGAAAUGGGGAGAGGAGUCCUUGCUGAUCCUAAGGCCACGGGAGAGGCCACGACCGUGCGCGUGGCUGGCACACCGGAGGCGCCUGGUUACUGCCCAUCUGGGGAGAGAUGGUCCCUGGCUUCCGGGCAGACACGGACCACCUGAGCGGCACCGCGGGGGCCUCCGCGGCCCGAACCUCAAAGCUCCGCCCCUGCGGUUUGGGGCGCAAACCCCCGCCCUGCUGAGCUCUCUGUCUUUUGGCCUAAAAUUAGCUCACAAAUUCCUUGGCUGCCUGGCCGGUGCUUCCAACCGACAAUUCAAACCAGAUGUUUCCAGCUGUCGGGCCCAUCCCCCCCCCCCCCCUCCCCGGCCCGCGCCCGCGUGUGUCCCUGCUCGAGGAGGUCUGAAUUAACCCCCGGGGAGAGCAGCCCGCUGGCCACACUCAGGAGCCCUGGCUGCGUGGCGGAUGCAGGGGUGUGGAGGGGAGCCCCAGGCCCGCAGGCACACCCCCUUCAGGGAUGGGGGCGCCCCCUGACGACUGACCUGCUGGCGGGUGACGGCCACCGGGCCUAAUUGCUCUGCCCCUUUCCAUCCGGUAGCAUUAUGGAGUGCCUGCUGUAUGCCAGGCUUCUGUGUUCGCUGCUGUCCAGAUGGUGAGACAAGCAUUCUCAGUCCCAGGUGUCGCUUGGUUGCUGAUAUUAUUAUUAUUAUUAUUAGCAUAUUUAUUUAAUGCCAGGUGCCAAGGCUCAUUGAUUUCUCACGAUAACCCAGGGGUGUGGGGGUUAUUAUUACUCCCAUUUUACAGAUGAGGAAAUCGAGGCCCAGGGCGGUGGAGUAACCUAGCCCAAGGGCCCUCAGCUCCAAAGGAACAGAACCCAGAGGUCCCCGAAGGGCAGGUAGUCUUGGCUCCUCCUGGGUGGGUUUGACUUCUCUGUUGUCACCCCCCAUGUGGCCCUUUUCCAUGUGGCGGGUGGGUCUGGAUGUCAUGGAAGGACCUCUCUGCGAGGAUGUCCCUGGGCCCAGCAGGCAGCUGGAACCCCCCACAAGCCAAGUUUCUGUCCCAGCUGAGUCAGGAGCUGGUGGUCAGGGUGGAAGGAACCACGGGGAGGCUGGGAAUCUGUGUGGCUUUUGUGAGGGCCUCAUACAGAGCCCCUUCUCCCCAGAGAUGGGACCCAGAGCCAUCUCUUGGUCAGAGUCCUGGAGAGAAAGAGUGUGUGUGUGUGUGUGUGUGUCUGUUGGGGGUGGGAAAAGAGGAGAAAGCCUUGACACAAGGAGAGAUGUGGUGGAGGGUUUGCCCACACAGGGACCCAUGACUGGCCUUCUUCACCUACAGUAAAAGCCCAGAUCCCUGCCAACGCCCACAGAGGCCCUGCACGGUCUGGCCCCGGUGCCCUCUAACCUCCCACUGUCCCCUCACUCACUCUGUUCCAACCACGCCAGAUACUUCUUUUCCUCUCCUUGAAAAUGCCAGGCUCCCCCUACCGCAGGACCUUUGCACCUGCUCUUCUCGCUGCCUGGAAUGCUCUUCCUCUGAUCAUCUCUCUCACUCACUCUCUCACAGCCUUCAGGGCUUCGCUGGAAUGUCCCCCUUUCCCUGACCUUUUCCUGACUUAUAUAUCACUAAGUUGUCACUUUAACCAUCUUCCUUGUUCCACUAGAAUAUAAGCUCCGUCAGGACAGGGAUUUUUACCUUUGUUGUUCUCUGCUGUAGCCCCAGAGCUUAGAAAGCACCUGGCAUGUAGUAUGUGCUCAGUAAGUACUGAGAGAGAGACAGAGAGAGAGAGAGAGAGGGAGAAAGAAAGAAAAGAGAAGAAGGAAUUUAGGGAGGGAAGAGGAGACAGAAGGUCUUGGUGUAAAGUGAGCGGGCAGAAAGAAAGCAGGAGAAAUGUGGGGUGAGGUACUGGGUGUUUGGGUGACUUAGGGCCCCCCAAAGUUCAGCCCCAAGCCCUCCCCACUUCUCGCUCUUGGCCAGCAGCCCUCUCCUCAAAGUCAGGCACCCCACCCCCUUCCCAAUAGGGCUGCAAAGGAAUUCAGAAGCACCAUCUGAUUCCGUCCCACGAUGGGGUAGCGGGUGGGGCGGGGGCAGUGGAGACCGCGGUGGGGGGGGCACGACGUGCCCGAGGGCACCCAGUGGGCAGGGCCAGAUGGGGAGGGUGAGGCCAGGUCUGCGGUGUUUACAUUCCUGCCCUCCCAGAUGGCUUCCGUGCGGGGCUAGCGAGGCGAGGCGCUCCUUGCACCGGCCGGGCCGCGGGGAAUGUAAAUGUUUACAAGGCAGCGCGCAGCUGGCCGGGCCACCAGAGCCACGGGAAGCCAGAGAUCCUACCGGCUCCUGUGCCCCCCUCCAAAAAAAGAGGGCGAUGCAGCGUUCCUUUUUUUUUUCCAGAAAACUUUUCAUCGAGUCAUAACCUACGUAAAACACACGAAUCUCAAGGGUGCAUGUUGAUUCCUCCCUACGCACGCGCCCGUGUAACCGCCACCCAGGUCUAGAUAGCAUACGCUUCCAGCCCUAGAAGGUUCCUUUGUGCCUCUUUCCGGCCAACACCACCACCACCCCCCGCCAAGGUAACUGCUCCUCUGACUUCUGUUCCCGUAGCUUAGUUUUGCAUUUGUUCUAGAACUUCGUGUAAAUGGCAUCACCCAGUGUGUGUUCUCCCGGGUCCAUUCUUUCGCUGGGCGUGUUGAUGGGACUUAUCCACGCCGUAUGCCCCCGGCCUCUUCCUUUCGCUGCUGAGAAGCGCUCUCCUGCAUCGAGGUACCAGUCUGUUCACCCGUUUUUCUGUUGGUGGACAUUGGGGCUGCUUCCAGUGUUUUCUGCCCUGGUAGAUUAACGCGGUCAUGGAUAUUUUUGUCUCUGUGUGGAUGUGUGUUUUUAUUUCUCUUGGGUAGAUACCUACGAAGGAGGUUGCUGGACCAUCCGGGAAGUGGACGGCUAACUUUGUGGGAGCUGCCAGACCGUUUUCCAAAGUGGCUGUGCUGUUUUGCUCUCCCGUCCAUCGUGGGUCUCCCUUCUACGCUGUGAGCUCUGUGCCCGUGUUUGCUCAUCACUGUCUCCCAGAGCCUGACACCGGCUGGGUGUAAAGUAAACGUCACGAGAUAUUUGUAGAACGAACGAAGGGCGGAGUGUGAGAGCGUCGGGACCUCAGCGUUGGCAGCCUCGUGGCAGAGAUCUGGCCCAAGCCCAUUUAGCUGCAGCCCAGAGAGGGGCAGCGAUUUGCCCAGCCCCCCACAGUUGGUGAGACACAGGGAGGGGCUGGCGAAGAAACAAGGGCUCUGAUCUCCACACGCUGUUGGAGCUAGGUCACGCUGCUGUGAACCUCAGUUUCCACAUCUGUCAAAUGGGAUGUGCUUAUCCAUCCACCUCUCCCCCAGGCACUUACGGAGCCUGCUGGGCUUGAGGCACAGCGGUGGGCUCCAUGGAGGGGAGGGACGCCCGGUACUUUGGAGGGUGGCUGACUCAACUUUGCAGGAAGCAAGUAAUAACAUUCGCUCUCAGUGUGGGAGGCAGAAUGAGGCCCCUCCCCCAGAGAUGUCCACAUCCCGAGCCCUGGAACCUACAGAUGGGAAUGUGUCACCCGGCAUGGCAAAGGGCUUUGCGGAUGGGAUUAGGUUAAGGACAGGAGGUGGUGAGGUCAUCCUGGGCUAUCUGGGUGAGCCCAAUGUCAUCCCAAGGGUCCUUGAAAUUGGGAGAGCGGUUUGGAAGAGAGCCAGGGGGAUGUAGUGUGAGAACCUAGCCCAUGGCAGCUGGCCGUGAAGACGGAGAAAGAGCCCAUAAGCAGGGGAACUCAGGCGGCUUCUAGAUCCCUCCCCCGAACCCUCCGUGAUGAACGGAGCCCUGCCGACACCGUGCUUUUCACCCGGUGAGACCCCGUUUCUGACUUCUGGCUGCCAGUACCGUGAACAACAGAUGUGUGCUGUUUAA
Long non-coding RNA from Panthera uncia (snow leopard), 5965 nucleotides. RefSeq lists it as uncharacterized. Lineage: Eukaryota; Metazoa; Chordata; Mammalia; Carnivora; Felidae. The record is from RefSeq and is a predicted model, not a curated record. The transcript has 2 exons.